GCGCCUGUAGCUCAGCGGACAGAGUGUCAGCUUGCGGAGCUGAAGGUCAGAGGUUCGAAUCCUCUCAGGCGCA
RNAcentral lists this transfer RNA (73 nucleotides) under bacterium. RNAcentral describes it as "tRNA-Arg". It matches the Rfam family "tRNA". Rfam says of the family: Transfer RNA (tRNA) molecules are approximately 80 nucleotides in length. The record is from RNAcentral. RNAcentral also lists the same sequence under 3 other names.